Molecule: transfer RNA, 88 nt
Filed under: Thiotrichales bacterium
Lineage: Bacteria; Pseudomonadati; Pseudomonadota; Gammaproteobacteria; Thiotrichales
Description: tRNA-Ser
Rfam family: tRNA
About the family: Transfer RNA (tRNA) molecules are approximately 80 nucleotides in length. Their secondary structure includes four short double-helical elements and three loops (D, anti-codon, and T loops). Further hydrogen bonds mediate the characteristic L-shaped molecular structure. tRNAs have two regions of fundamental functional importance: the anti-codon, which is responsible for specific mRNA codon recognition, and the 3' end, to which the tRNAs corresponding amino acid is attached (by aminoacyl-tRNA synthetases). tRNAs cope with the degeneracy of the genetic code in two manners: having more than one tRNA (with a specific anti-codon) for a particular amino acid; and 'wobble' base-pairing, i.e. permitting non-standard base-pairing at the 3rd anti-codon position.
Source: RNAcentral
GGAGAGAUGCCCGAGCGGUUGAAGGGACUGGUCUUGAAAACCAGCGAGCCGAAAGGCUCCGUGGGUUCGAAUCCCACUCUCUCCGCCA